This 228-nucleotide ribosomal RNA is filed under the name uncultured bacterium. Its description in RNAcentral is "partial 16S ribosomal RNA". It matches the Rfam family "Bacterial small subunit ribosomal RNA", at positions 111 to 334 of the family's 1533-position model. The record is from RNAcentral.
UAACACGUGGGUCACCUGCCCCGAUGAUUGGGACAACCCGAGGAAACUCGGGCUAAUACCAAAUGUGCUCCUGGCCGUAAUGGCCUUGAGGAAAGGAAGCUUCGGCCUCCGCAUCGGGAUGGGCCCGCGGCCCAUUAGCUAGUUGGUGGGGUAACGGCCUACCAAGGCGACGAUGGGUAGCUGGUCUGAGAGGACGAUCAGCCACACUGGGACUGAGACACGGCCCAG